Molecule: long non-coding RNA, 652 nt
Filed under: Sinocyclocheilus anshuiensis
Lineage: Eukaryota; Metazoa; Chordata; Actinopteri; Cypriniformes; Cyprinidae
Description: lncRNA (ENSSANG00000026758.1)
Source: RNAcentral
AGCGUCUACUUUAUUGCCGUAAUCACCUGUGUUCUUUGAGGGUUGCUGCUGAAUUGGGAAUUUCUUCAUUGCCAUGGAGAGGAGUGAUGAUUCAUAUAUAGUAUUUAAAAUCUUCGUACCUAUUGUAACCUUUGGGUUUUUCUCAAUCUGCUGUGCUGGCUUCUGUAAAAUAUUCCAGCGGGUUCGUAAGGAGCGCGUGGAGCGUCUGCAGGCUCAAGCUCGAGCCGUGGAUCAACGGUCCGUCUACGUCAUUCCAAUCUCUCUGUCUGAAGAUGAGCUGCACAGACCACCGCGCUACAGCACUGUACAGUUCUACGAGCCGCCUCCUGCUUAUCACGAGUUAAAUCUGAAGCCCGAGGCCUGUCCUGUGGAACCCCCUCCUGCAUAUUCAGAAUCUGUCUCUCCUUCACCCUCACAUUCAUGAUCACACCAAAUAUAAGCGCAUCUCAAGCACUUGGACUGGUUAAAGGAAAAAUAAGAGGCAACGUCAUAUUCUCAUGACUUUUCCAAGGACUACUACUCAUGCUUCCUAUGCAAAGGUUUAAAUGGUGAGAAGGAAAAUGUCACAGUUAUAGUAAUCUGCGAUUCUGUUGGGAUUUUGAGCAUGUCCUACAGGGUCACAGAGAAAGACUGUUUUGCACAAUGAGCAGCA